UCUGUCUUCCCAGGUUCUCCUAAUGCCAUACAUUGGCAUUUCCAACGGAAGCUAUCUCACCCUGCUACCCACUGGAACCACUUCCUGCUGUGGCCUCAUCCUUCUAUCAUUUUAAAAUUAUUUUUGUCUGCCCAUCCGUCCACCGCUGUGGGCUGGUAGCUCAUGGAGGGCACUGACCAUUGAUCAGACACUUAAUGUGUGCAGAACACUGGUCUAAGCACAAGGAAAGACCACCCAGGUGGGAAUAUACAUGUAUCUUGUUUUGGUCACACUAUCUCCAACGCUUAUCGCAGUGUUUCACACUCAGUAGGUGCUCAGGAAACAGUACUGAUGAUGGUGACGAUAGUGGUCUAGUCUCGAAGCCUCAUAUCCAUGCCUGAAAACAGAAAGCAAUCCACUCUGGGAGUUUGGCAUCCUUUGCCCUCAGUGAGGUUGGACGCCAUUUUGGGAUACUUUGGCUCUAUCGCGAGUGAUGCUUUGGAACCUAUCAGUCAUUGGCCAACCUACCAUCUGGAACCAUAGCAAGAAGCAGAUGCUCAUCUGCUGUGUGACCUCGGGCAUGCCACUUCACGUCUCUGUGCCUCAGAACAAGGGGAACCACUGAAGAUUCUUCAGGAUGAGAGAGACGGGCUCGGAUUGCAGCUGUGUGUCGGACUGACCGAAGAGGAGAGAGGCGGGGAGGUCGGUCAUGUUCUGCUGGAUCUGGUUCACCCUUGUGGCAGGACUUGAACAUUUCUCCCUAAAACGCAGGUUAGUACGUACCACUGACCGAGCGAAAUUACAGUUAAACUUUUUUUUUUUUUAAAAAAAAGACAACCCGUGUAUCA
Ornithorhynchus anatinus (platypus) is the source of this 827-nucleotide long non-coding RNA. RefSeq lists it as uncharacterized. The record is from RefSeq and is a predicted model, not a curated record. Lineage: Eukaryota; Metazoa; Chordata; Mammalia; Monotremata; Ornithorhynchidae. The transcript is spliced from 4 exons.